AAACAUUUCUUUAAGAUUAAAAUUUAAGGUAAGUUCUGCUCAAUGAAUAAAAUUUAAAUAGCUGCAGUAUUUUGACUGUACAAAGGUAGCAUAAUAAAUUGUUUUUUAAAUGAAAACUAGUAUGAAAGAAUAAAUGAAAUAUAAACUUUAUUAAUUAAAUAAAUUGAAUUUAAAUUUUAAGUUAAAAUGCUUAAAUAUUUUAAUGGGACGAUAAGACCCUAUAGAAUUUUAUAUUUUAUAUUUAUAUAUAUUAAUAAUUUAAAUAUAAAAAUAUUUAUUUGGGAGGAAUGUUUAAUUUAAUUAACUUAAAUUGAUUUAAAUCAUAUAUUUAUGUAAUUUUUGAUUUUAUUUUUUUAAUUAUAAGAUUAAAUUACCUUAGGGAUAACAGCGUAAUAUUUUUUGAGAGUUCAUAUUGAAAAAAAUGUUU
RNAcentral lists this ribosomal RNA (427 nucleotides) under Chlorepyris sp. RNAcentral describes it as "partial large subunit ribosomal RNA". Lineage: Eukaryota; Metazoa; Arthropoda; Insecta; Hymenoptera; Bethylidae. The record is from RNAcentral.